Long non-coding RNA from Sinocyclocheilus rhinocerous, 315 nucleotides. RefSeq lists it as uncharacterized. The record is from RefSeq and is a predicted model, not a curated record. Lineage: Eukaryota; Metazoa; Chordata; Actinopteri; Cypriniformes; Cyprinidae. The transcript is spliced from 5 exons.
CGGAAGGCUGCAUCUUACCGAGGCUGUGUCCUUCCUAGUUCAGUAUGAAGUCGUGACAUGUCGACGGAGAACAAAAACUGGAAUGUCAACACAAGAAGGUCAGAUGUGAUCUGCGAGGUCCUGCAAACAUACUGGCAAAAUGAGAUGCUAAAGUUAGAUGCUCAUCUAAUGUUGUGUUGCUGAGUCAUCAAAGAUCCCGCUUAUUAUUGGCAAAUUGGACCGUACAGAAAGCGCACAAGUGGGAGAGAGAGAAGGGGAUGGCGUCAGAAAGGACCUAGAGCUGGGACACUUUCAAGGAUCACCCGAAGCACAACC